This is a long non-coding RNA of Fukomys damarensis (Damara mole-rat), 864 nucleotides long. NCBI's taxonomy places the organism in Eukaryota, Metazoa, Chordata, Mammalia, Rodentia, Bathyergidae. The record is from Ensembl.
GUGGGGAGCUGUGGCCAUAGAGUGGGAAAGGAGACCACUUUCAAAAUCAUAGCCGUCAGUCUUCUCUCCCUUUCUGAUUUGCUUCUCCAUCACUGAUACCAGUGGAAGCCGGAGGAGGAAGAGGCCAAAAUGACGCACUCCAUGGAAGUCUGUCUGCAAGGCAAAGGACAGACAGAACUGGGUUGAAAACUUAUUUAGGUAAGAAGAGACUAAUCCGUCUAAUAUGUCACAAAUAUGCCAUACAUCUGUUGGAAACUUUCCUAGAAAUGCAAUCUCAGUAUCAAUAGGAAGAAAAGAGCUACCUAAGCAUCCCCUUGAUAUCUGUUCUCCUGCUCUGCCAGGGUAUGCAGUGCUCCCUCACUGAAAAAACUGCUCAGAAUUAAGACUACAUUUCCCAGCCUCCCUUUGGCCAAAGUGAUGUCAGAGGAAGUGUCAGGUGACGGCUUCUAAGGAGCUUCUCUGAGGUCGGCUGACUUGGGCUAUUUACCCCUCAUGGUUUACUCCUUCCUGAGGUUCACUGGCUGCCCAGGACCACACCAUUUGCAUGGUAUGACUUCAGCAAGUCCCAUGGGCUUUACCCUUCUAUCGAUGUGGACCCAAAUGCCCUCAGCAUCACCCUUCUUCCGGCUGCCCUCGUGUUUCACACUGGCUGCUGCAGUGGUGGCGGUCUUCCUGCUUUGGCAUUGCACUGGUAAGCAUCUCAUCGCUGCCUCUCUGGGAGAAAAAAGCCCUGCUCUGUUGCUUUCACCAGCUUUGGCAGUGUAAAUCCUCCACUCUGGCUAAUUUCAAACUAGCAACACAGAGGCGUCACUGAGUACAGAGGUGAGAAGAGAUUCACAGUAGCCCCUGUUAGAUAGUAUUCCC